This 313-nucleotide ribosomal RNA is filed under the name Clostridiales bacterium. RNAcentral's name for it is "partial 23S ribosomal RNA". It matches the Rfam family "Bacterial large subunit ribosomal RNA", at positions 2615 to 2925 of the family's 2925-position model. The record is from RNAcentral. Lineage: Bacteria; Bacillati; Bacillota; Clostridia; Eubacteriales.
AACGUCGUGAGACAGUUCGGUCCCUAUCCGGCGCAGGCGUAGGAUAUCUGAGAGGAGCUGUCCUUAGUACGAGAGGACCGGGAUGGACGGACCGCUGGUGUAUCUGUUAGGAACCAAUCCUAUGGCAGAGUAGCCAAGUCCGGCAGGGAUAAACGCUGAAGGCAUCUAAGCGUGAAGCCCCCCUCAAGAUGAGAUAUCCCCAUGAAAGGUCAUGGUAAGACCCCUUGAAGAGUACGAGGUAGAUAGGCUUAAGGUGUAGGCACAGUAAUGUGUAGAGCUGAUAAGUACUAAUCGGUCGAGGGCUUAUCCUUGA